Molecule: transfer RNA, 26 nt
Filed under: Pseudotrapelus aqabensis
Lineage: Eukaryota; Metazoa; Chordata; Lepidosauria; Squamata; Agamidae
Description: partial tRNA-Leu
Source: RNAcentral
ACUUUUAAAGGAAAACAGUAAUCCGA